CCUCACAACUGGCUUAACUCCAUCACUUUAUGCAUACUCUUUACACUGAUGAGUCUGAAGACAUUUUUAUCCUAAACAUUUCCAACACCAAAUAAAUUGCUGUGUUUUUUUACCCCCAUAUCAACCAAUUAGAUGAGCGGUCACCCAUGAGACUCCCUCCCCUAAACAGCCUUCUCGUACCCUGGUCUCUGUGUGGGAGGGGCCACUCAUCCAUGGGCGACAGCCCACUCACGGAAUGUUGCUGCUAUUAAUCAUUUUUAAGAAGGAACAUGACACAAGUAAUAACCUGUUUGGCAAAGUCCCUUCGUGGUGUGUAAUUAUUUUUUUUCUGGCCGCAGAACGAUGAUUGUAAUGUUGGUUGCCUUGAUGCUUUUCUUGCUGCUCCAGAACUGAUGGCUGCAGUGAAGUAACCUCAGGUGGGUUGCCAGGCCAGGGAAUGUAGUCCAGCGUAGAGUGUCUCCUUAGCAUGCCCGAAACCUGGGUUCAUUCACCACCACCAAAAAAAAAAUCCCCUAAAUACAAACGAACAAACAAAAACCACAUCUUCCUCAAUUUAAGUUUCUGUAUGUGUCCCACAUCUGGAUGAUGGGACUUAAUGGGUUAAAUGGCUUCAAUAUUAAUGAAAGUUCACCAUCUUGAACUCAUGAUGGUCCAUGGGCAUGGUGGCAGCUCUGCAAACACCAGGGAGAGUUGUGGAUUUAAAUUUAGGCGCGAGCAAGAAUAAGAAAUGUGAAUGCUGUCAGAUCCAAGUGGAGUCAGUGGUACCAGAGCCUCGCCAGCUGGCGGUGGGAAGUCCAGACAGGGCCUCCCAGGCAUGCUCCGAUGGAACCCAGGGAAGGGCUCCCAGCACCAAGCCUACACCUAGAGCACCUGGGAGCAGGCCUACCCAGCAGCAGCCUGCUUUAUCCUGGACAGCUGCCUCUCCUGUUACUGGCCCACGAGGCCAAGAAUUAUUGAUUCGCAAUUUACGUGACCUUCCUCCUUUCACCUUCAAAAUCACUUGUCUUGCUUUGCCUCUGGGUAUGCCCAUGGCCACUGGGGCAUAUCAUAGCACAUGUAUUCCAUGAUGGCCAUCUCCUGUCAUUUAUUUCCAAAUAACUUCCUCUCUCUGAAGAGCCUAUCUCUGUUGGUAUUUUAGGUUGUUGUUAAAUAUGGCAACUUCCAAAAUUAAUUCAUUAAGUCCCAAGUUUUUAGUUCUUUAAAUAUUUUGGCAAAAUUGACACAGGUACCAUAAAAUAGGUUGGAAGUAAUUUAUAGCCUAUAUAUAUUUUCUCAUGUAUAUGGAAAUAUAAUUAUUCUUUCAAAUGCACCAGUCAUGUUAAUUUUCUCAAAAGAAUAGAACCCUAACACAAUAUUCAUUCCAAAAGUUACAAAUGGUGCAUUCGUUGCUCAAUUUAAGUUUCUGUAUGUGUCCCACAUCUGGGAUGAUGGGACUUAAUGGGUUAAAUGCCUUCAAUAUUAAUGAAAGUUCACCUCCAAAGGAGAAGGAGAAUUAGACCAUUCAGGUGAAAUGGAGGAAAUCUUAGAAAGAUACUCAAAGUGUCUCAAGAGGAAAUAGGAACUCUGAAUAGCUUAUGACCAGUAAAGAAACUUAAUAGUCACUAAAAAUAUACCCACAGAGAAAACUCGAGGCCCAGAUGGCUGCAUGGUGAGUUUUAUCAAGGACUUAGAGAAGGACUAAUAUUUACCCUUCACACAUUUUUUUCAGAAAAUGGCAGAGGAGCAGACCACUUUGCAACUCCACCAUAAGGCUGGUGUGACCUGGUUCCAAAGCCAGACACGACAAGAAAACCACAGACAAGUAUCCGUCAUGAACAUAGAGGCCAAGAUACUACCAAACCUAAUUCAUAUAAAACAAAUACAUAAAAAGGGUCCUACAUCGUGACCAAGUGGGAUUUGUCCCAGGAAAGCAGGAUUGGUUAAACAUCUCAAAAUCAAUUGAUAAAAAAGAGUCAUUUUCCAACACCAACCGGGUGUUCUUUUCUGAUGCUAACUAUUCAGCCCUAGCACAGACCCCACAAGUUAAAGGCUCGGUCCCAUAAGACUCCCCCUCUUCAGAUACAAGAAGGGCACGUUUGAUAUUUGCUAGUACAACUCACAGAACUCAGCCAAGUGCUAACUUACUGACAUGGCUUUGUGUUCAUAAAGAAUACAACGCAGGAACAGCCAGAUGGAAGCCAAGCAUGGGGGCAAGCUGGUUUGGGGAUUGGAACAUGAGUUUCAAAGGCCUCUGGUACACUGCGCUGUCAAGACACAGAAGUGUUCAACAAUCCGGACGCCCCCUGUAGGUGUGCUUGAUGGAAUCAUUAUCCCCUGGUAACUGAGUCCCAGCGUGCACCCACCCCAGAGGAAAAGCUGAGAAGCUCCAACAUAUGAUACUGUGUAGUUGGUUUCCCAGGCAACCAGCCCCUGUCUAGAAGCAACUUAAGUCACCUCAUUAACAGGUAGAGGUGCUCCUGGGCUUGCGGUGAGGAGUAUGUUCUGAUAAACCUGUUGUAAGUUGAGAAUAUUGUAAGUUGAAAUGUAUUUAUAACUUACCAAGCAUCACCACAACAGAA
RNAcentral lists this long non-coding RNA (2558 nucleotides) under Marmota monax (woodchuck). Lineage: Eukaryota; Metazoa; Chordata; Mammalia; Rodentia; Sciuridae. The record is from RNAcentral.